GCCGGCAUUUUUAGAUAGAAGAAACAGUGCGAACGUAGUUCAGUGGUAGAAC
RNAcentral lists this ribosomal RNA (52 nucleotides) under Streptococcus pneumoniae GA41688. Lineage: Bacteria; Bacillati; Bacillota; Bacilli; Lactobacillales; Streptococcaceae. The record is from RNAcentral.